Molecule: ribosomal RNA, 259 nt
Filed under: uncultured Lactobacillus sp.
Lineage: Bacteria; Bacillati; Bacillota; Bacilli; Lactobacillales; Lactobacillaceae
Description: partial 16S ribosomal RNA
Rfam family: Bacterial small subunit ribosomal RNA
Source: RNAcentral
GCAUAGCCCGAGUUGAGAGACUGAUCGGGCCACUUGGGGACUGAGACACGGGCCCAAACUCCUACCGGGAGGCAGCAGUAGGGAAUCUUCCACAAUGGACGAAAGUCUGAUGGAGCAAACGCCGCGUGAGUGAAGAAGGUUUUCGGAUCGUAAAGCUCUGUUGUUGGUGAAGAAGGAUAGAGGUAGUAACUGGCCCUUUAUUUGACGGUAAUCAACCAGAAAGUCACGGGCUAACUACGUGCCAGCAGCCGCGGUAAAU